CCUACGGGAGGCUGCAGUGGGGAAUAUUGGACAAUGGGCGAAAGCCUGAUCCAGCCAUGCCGCGUGUGUGAAGAAGGCCUUCGGGUUGUAAAGCACUUUCAGUGGGGAAGAAAGCCUUGGGGCUAAUACCCUCGAGGAAGGACAUCACCCACAGAAGAAGCACCGGCUAACUCCGUGCCAGCAGCCGCGGUAAUACGGAGGGUGCGAGCGUUAAUCGGAAUUACUGGGCGUAAAGCGCGCGUAGGCGGUCUGAUAAGCCGGUUGUGAAAGCCCCGGGCUCAACCUGGGAACGGCAUCCGGAACUGGCAGGCUAGGGGGCAGGAGAGGAAGGUAGAAUUCCCGGUGUAGCGGUGAAAUGCGUAGAGAUCGGGAGGAAUACCAGUGGCGAAGGCGGCCUUCUGGACUGACACUGACGCUGAGGUGCGAAAGCGUGGGUAGCAAACAGGAUUAGAUACCCCAGUAGUC
RNAcentral lists this ribosomal RNA (465 nucleotides) under Vreelandella stevensii. Its description in RNAcentral is "partial 16S ribosomal RNA". It matches the Rfam family "Bacterial small subunit ribosomal RNA", at positions 338 to 795 of the family's 1533-position model. The record is from RNAcentral. Lineage: Bacteria; Pseudomonadati; Pseudomonadota; Gammaproteobacteria; Oceanospirillales; Halomonadaceae.